AACGUAGGUGGCAAGCGUUAUCCGGAUUUACUGGGCGUAAAGCGUGUGCAGGCGGGGGUACACGUGGUGUAUGAAAUUUCCCAGCUUAACUGGGAAGGGUUAUGCCAGACUGUACUUCUGGAGUGCGAGAGAGGGGCGUGGAAUUCCGGGUGUAGUGGUGAAAUGCGUAGAGAUCCGGAGGAACCCCAGAGGCGAAGGCGGCGCCCUGGCUCGCAACUGACGCUCAGACACGACAGCAUGGGGAGCGAACGGG
RNAcentral lists this ribosomal RNA (253 nucleotides) under uncultured bacterium. Its description in RNAcentral is "partial 16S ribosomal RNA". It matches the Rfam family "Bacterial small subunit ribosomal RNA", at positions 524 to 776 of the family's 1533-position model. The record is from RNAcentral.